Molecule: ribosomal RNA, 40 nt
Filed under: Searsia paniculata
Lineage: Eukaryota; Viridiplantae; Streptophyta; Magnoliopsida; Sapindales; Anacardiaceae
Description: partial 18S ribosomal RNA
Source: RNAcentral
GUAACACGGUUUCCGUAUGUGAACCUGCGGAAGGAUCAUU